Molecule: transfer RNA, 74 nt
Filed under: Ictidomys tridecemlineatus (thirteen-lined ground squirrel)
Lineage: Eukaryota; Metazoa; Chordata; Mammalia; Rodentia; Sciuridae
Description: Spermophilus tridecemlineatus (thirteen-lined ground squirrel) tRNA
Rfam family: tRNA
About the family: Transfer RNA (tRNA) molecules are approximately 80 nucleotides in length. Their secondary structure includes four short double-helical elements and three loops (D, anti-codon, and T loops).
Source: Rfam by way of RNAcentral
GGCGAUAUAGCUCUGUCUGGUAGAGUGUUUGCCUUGCAUGCAUUAAGCCCUGAGUUCAAACCCCAGCACCACCA